GCAGGCUGCAACUCGCCUGCAUGAAGUCGGAAUUGCUGUAAUCGCAGAUCAGCAUGCUGCGGUGAAUACGUUCCCGGGCCUUGUACACACCGCCCGUCACACCAUGAGAGUCGGGAACACCCGAAGUCCGUAGUCUAACCGCAAGGGGGCGCGGCCGAAGGUGGGUUCGAUAAUUGGGGUGAAGUCGUAACAAGGUAAC
RNAcentral lists this ribosomal RNA (199 nucleotides) under uncultured bacterium. RNAcentral describes it as "partial 16S ribosomal RNA". It matches the Rfam family "Bacterial small subunit ribosomal RNA", at positions 1300 to 1500 of the family's 1533-position model. The record is from RNAcentral.